This 439-nucleotide ribosomal RNA is filed under the name uncultured bacterium. RNAcentral's name for it is "partial 16S ribosomal RNA". It matches the Rfam family "Bacterial small subunit ribosomal RNA", at positions 339 to 795 of the family's 1533-position model. The record is from RNAcentral.
CUACGGGACGCACCAGUAGGGAAUUUUCGGCAAUGGGCGCAAGCCUGAUCUAGCCAUGCCGCGUGAGUGACGAAGGCCUUAGGGUCGUAAAGCUCUUUCGCUGGGGAAGAUAAUGACGGUACCCAGUAAAGAAACCCCGGCUAACUCCGUGCCAGCAGCCGCGGUAAUACGGAGGGGGUUAGCGUUGUUCGGAAUUACUGGGCGUAAAGCGCGCGUAGGCGGAUCAGAAAGUUGGGGGUGAAAUCCCGGGGCUCAACCCCGGAACUGCCUUCAAAACUCCUGGUCUUGAGUUCGAGAGAGGUGAGUGGAAUUCCGAGUGUAGAGGUGAAAUUCGUAGAUAUUCGGAGGAACACCAGUGGCGAAGGCGGCUCACUGGCUCGAUACUGACGCUGAGGUGCGAAAGCGUGGGGAGCAAACAGGAUUAGAUACCCCGGUAGUC